UACCUCCCUCUCAGCUGGCCUUGAGGGGAGAAGGCAGGGGUGGUAAUGAGAGCCGAUUUUUUCUAAGAACUGAAAUAUGAAGCCAAUUACUAAGGGGAAGAUUUCCAGCAAAUUGGCUCCUGAUAGCUCACAUUUAUCUGCUUUAGAUUUGCAUAGUCGGGGAGGAGAGGCGCUCUGCUUUGGCCCAGGGAACAAAGAGAGAAUCCCUUCAGCAGGAGGUGAAUAACUUCUUCAACCUACCUCCAACCCCAAGGUCUAGAGUUCAGCAAUGAAAGGCAGUGAGGAACAAAUCACACCAACUGUUUCAACGGCAGGAGAGGAAAAGGAAAGGGGGAAAAAAAAGUCGUUUUGCCUUUAGCUGACAGAGAUGUGAAUGCUGGGAGAGGCCUGUGGGUGGGGCUACACAGAGAAAGAGAGCCCCAAAACAAGAGAGUCUUCACUGGAGAGGAAGCGUUGAGAACAAAGAGAAGUAGGAACCGUGUGACCCAUUCCACUGGCCGUCAUUUUACACCUAACUACUCGCUUCUAGUUCUUAGCUGGGGCAACAGAGCCCCAGAACAAAAGACAGAUUCACAAGAGAAAAACAAAGCUUAAUAAGAAGGAUAUCCCACAUACACAAGAGAAAAGCCCAGGAGGGAAAAUGCAUCAAUUUCAGAGGUCCCUUUGAGUUCAGGCUUAAAUACAGUCCUGCUCCAGCCACGGAAUGACAUUUCAGUUACAAAUGGACAACAUAUCUUAAGGUGGUCCCUUAAGAUUAUUGCAAGACCAGAAAGUUCUUACCACCUAGCCAUCGUCAUGUUGUGGCCUCACCUACAUGGUAGUGCUGCUGCUGGUGUAAACAACCCUACUGAGCUUCCAGUCCUAUCAAAGUAUGGCACACACAAUUGAGCACAGUACAUGGUAGACGAUGAUAACAAGGGAGUAUGUUACUGGGUCAUGUGUUUACUAUACUAUGCUUUUAUCAGCACCGCAGAGUGUACUCCUACUUAUUAAAAGAAUU
RNAcentral lists this long non-coding RNA (1000 nucleotides) under Oryctolagus cuniculus (rabbit). RNAcentral's name for it is "lncRNA (ENSOCUG00000037798.1)". The record is from RNAcentral. Lineage: Eukaryota; Metazoa; Chordata; Mammalia; Lagomorpha; Leporidae.